CCUACUAAAGUCAAAUGGUCAGGAAGGAUGAUGAAGGCUUUCUUCUACUGAUGCCAUCCUAUUUGACCUGAUCUCUAACCGUGGCUUUGAAGACAGCUGCCAACUUCCUUCUUAAAAUUAAAUCCACCUAGCGAUUCAUGCCAGAAACCUCGGGGUUCUCCAUGAGAGCUACCCGCCCCGCUCUACCCUCUGCAUUCAACACAUCAUCAUUUACCUGUACAACAUAGUCCAGGAAAUCAAGUUUGGUCAAGUGUCGCGCAGCC
Molecule: long non-coding RNA, 263 nt
Organism: Talpa occidentalis (Iberian mole)
Lineage: Eukaryota; Metazoa; Chordata; Mammalia; Eulipotyphla; Talpidae
Exons: 3
Source: RefSeq, a predicted model, not a curated record